AGCGCGGACCGGCUGCCCACGUCCUUCUGAUCGAGGCUUCAUCCCAUAGCGGGUGUCAGGCCCUUGGCGGCGGCUGGCCCGGGCUCUCGGUGUCUUCCCGGAGUCGGGUUGUUUGGGAAUGCAGCCCAAAGCGGGUGGUAAACUCCAUUUACGGCUAAAUACGGUCACGAGACCGAUAGCGAACAAGUACCGUGAGGGAAAGUUGAAAAGCACUUUGGAGAGAGAGUUAAAAAGUACGUGAAACCGUCGAGAGGCAAACGGGAGGGCCUGUCGGGUCGUUCGGUCGCUUUCAGGCGGGCCGGAGACCGGGUCGCGGGAUCGGGGACCUUCGCGGGCCUCGACUCGCGUCGCCGGCCGACGGCUCGGCGCACUAGCGUCGGACGAGGGCCGCGACCGGCUGGGCGGCGGGCAAACGGCUCCGGGCAAGGUAACCCCGCUUCGGCGGGGUGCUACAGGCCCGGUGCGCGCAAGGGUCGCCGCCCGGUCGAGGAGAGAUGCGCGCCGCACCUGCCCCGUUCGCGGGGCCGGGGAAGCCGUUCGAGCAGCGUCGUGUCGCGGUCCGGGACUGUCCUCAGUCCCGGGUCGUCUCGGCGCGGUUCCGAGCGGUCGCUCCCUCGCGAGGUGCCGCGGGUCAGCGGCUGACGCCAGCCACCUUCCCGACCCGUCUUGAAACACGGACCAAGGAGUCUAACAUGUGCGCGAGCCGCGGGGCAGUACGAAACCCGUAAGGCGAAAUGAAGGUGACCGCCGGCGCGGUCCGGCGGAGGUUGGAUCCCGUCCCGUCGGGGCGGGCGCACUACCGGCC
Molecule: non-coding RNA, 805 nt
Organism: Ciona savignyi (Pacific transparent sea squirt)
Lineage: Eukaryota; Metazoa; Chordata; Ascidiacea; Phlebobranchia; Cionidae
Source: Rfam